CCUACGGGAGGCAGCAGUGAGGAAUAUUGGUCAAUGGACGAGAGUCUGAACCAGCCAAGUAGCGUGAAGGAUGACUGCCCUAUGGGUUGUAAACUUCUUUUAUAAAGGAAUAAAACGAGGCACGUGUGCCUUUUUGCAUGUACUUUAUGAAUAAGGAUCGGCUAACUCCGUGCCAGCAGCCGCGGUAAUACGGAGGAUCCGAGCGUUAUCCGGAUUUAUUGGGUUUAAAGGGAGCGUAGAUGGGUUGUUAAGUCAGUUGUGAAAGUUCGCGGCUCAACCGUAAAAUUGCAAUUGAUACUGGCAGUCGUGAGUACAGUUGAGGUAGGCGGAAUUCGUGGUGUAGCGGUGAAAUGCUUAGAUAUCACGAAGAACCCCGAUUGCGAAGGCAGCUUACUAAACUGUGACUGACAUUGAUGCUCGAAAGUGUGGGUAUCAAACAGGAUUAGAUACCCUAGUAGUC
Molecule: ribosomal RNA, 460 nt
Filed under: uncultured bacterium
Lineage: Bacteria
Description: partial 16S ribosomal RNA
Rfam family: Bacterial small subunit ribosomal RNA
Source: RNAcentral